UCGGCAGCGCCCAGCAGAGCCGUCUGGGAGGGGAUUACCAGCCUGAUCCUCUGUCCUCAGAGCCAGAAAUGACUCAAACUUCACAAACAGCAAGGGCCUGCCAGGGAGGGUGACAAUGAGCACUGGAAAGGGUUUCUACCCCUUUCUAGUGUCUUUCCCCCUACUUGCUGCUGUGGCAGAUUCUGGACAGUGAGCAGCCUGUGAGGUAAUCUGAAUUCCUUGGCAACCAGCGAAUACCUGAAUUCUUUCAAAACCACAGGAAUCCAGCAGAGAAAAGGGUCUUGCUACGCUGUGGAUGCUGGCCUCAAACUCACUAUCCUCAUGCCUCAGCCUCUCAAGUCCCUGGGAUUACAGGUGCGUGCCACUGCGCCAGGUGCACAAGGACUAUUCUUAAGUGUAGACUUUCAUUAAGUUGGUUAGAGAACUUACUAUCCUUGCUGGAUCCCAGCAUUUCCUCUGUGAAAUGCAAUGAAUGUUUGCUUGAUUUGGUGAAUGGCACUUCCCAAGCAACUAUGUGCAAAGACUGAGCUAGAUCUCUUUAAUUAAAAAAAAAAAAAAAAAGUUGUUUAUAUAAUAGUGAUGUUGAACACUGUGUGAGGCAUUGAGGUUACAGUGAUGAAGAAAAUAGAUACAAUCUUGCCCUCACAGAACUUAAGACUCAGUACCUCUACCCCCAGAGUUUAAAUACUAUAUUACAAUUAUAUUGCAGAGAGGUAGUGAUAUAUUUAAGUUAAAAGAACAAAAAGCAAUAAUUCUGUAAACACAAGAUAUUGGGUUGUAAAGUGGACCAAUCUGGCAGGACCACUCAGGGAAGGCUUGCCCUGGAAGAAUAGGUACAACAAGUAAGAAUAGGUGCAAGAAGUAAGUGAGUGGGCACAAGGUAGGGAGGAAAGGACGCCAUCAAGGGAAGAUGGCAUGUACAAGGGCCAGCAGACAGGAGGGUAGGCAGAUUCAUGGGCCUGGAGCUUAGAAGACUAAACUGAGAAAUAAAGGAAGGGAUGGUUAGACAACUAGGAGGGAGGGAUCCCAGAGGCAAAAGCAAGUAAGUUUGAACUCCUAGUAAGAGUCAUUUAGAUUGAACAUGGUAGAAAGCAGGAACACUGGAAUCAAAGAGCAAGAUCAAAAUAUGUGAAAUAGAACAAUUUCAUGUGUAAUUAGAUUAAGACAGAGAAGUCGGUUGCAAGUCAAUCCAUGCAGGACAAAAGAGCUCCAAAGGGAAGUGGCAAUGAUAAUAAUUACCAUGAUAACAACUACAGUAGUAGCUAACAUUUGCAGAAACAAUUAAAAUUAGGUAAAAGUAGUAAGUAUUUACUAUGUGCCAACCUGUUCUAAAUGUAUCACACAUAUUAUUUCAUUCAAUCCUCACACAACCCCAUAUUUUACAGAUAAGGAAAGGAUCAGAGAAGUUAGGGACCUGGCCCAAGUCACACAGCUAAUAAGCAAUAGAGCAGCAUUGGAACCCAGACAGUCUGCUUCAGAGGUAGACUUUUAAGCACUACUCAAUAGUCUGAGCCAAAAUAAUUAUCCCCAAAUUCAAAAAUUUUUCUAUGUCACAAAGUGUUUCCGAUCCCAAAUACUACUGUUGUUCAUGAAAUAAGGAUAAUUUUAUAACCCACGACAUUAUUCACAACCACAGUGAGCAACCCUGGAGUUAGGAUGAUGAGUUUUCCUGCUGCUGCUGCCUCAAAGUCAGAAGGCAGCUUUCACAUCCCAUUUCUGUAUAUCAUAUGAACACAAUGACAUCAGUACUGAUUCACCCCUAGUGCACUCAACCACCCAACCAUUUCCUGAUUUCCUUAUAUUUCUUGAUCAGUUUCUCACAAGCACUAUCUCCAUUCUGAGUCAUCUUACAAAAUAAGAAGUGAUGCAAUCAUUACACAAAGCGGUAAUCUAAAGGCUGGGUUCCAAACCUAGAGUUAAUCAAUCUCAGCCGCCUUCCCCAGAGUAACACCUACAGGCCAUAACAGACAUAUGACCUACUCACCUGUCCUCUGGACCAGAGAACACACUCCUAGGGUCUUCGUUUCCCAUCAUAUCUACUUCCUCUCCUCCCAUCCUAAUUGUUCACAUUGAUCCAUUUAUCCAUUCAGUUGAGCUUAGCAUAAACCCUUCAGUUAACUAGGUAACUUUAAUAUUUGUUCUAAUGUCUUUACCUCUUCUUUCUAUCUGUAUGAGGAAUUAAAUUUUAAGUUCUCAGAAUAAAAGGAUAGUUGGGACUGGUUUCUUUGGUAGUGUACAUCGCAGAGGAACUAAUGAAAUACCCUCAAAUCUACUUCCUUUUUAUCAAACCCCAAUUAACUCAUAUCAAAUUAUUUCAAUUUUCAGCUAAAAAUGUCCUUCCAAAAUAGGCUAAAGCAGGAAUCUGAAUUGUUGGGGAAGUUGGAAACAGUCUUUUUUCCUCACUGGACCUUAAGAUCAAAGUUCUCAGCAUCUAUUAAGUUACUGCAGAGUAGUACAGGACAGGGAUUAAGACUGAAUAUACACUCUGGAACUAGCUAGACUUGAGUUACCAACUUGACUCAACCACUUACUAAGUAAUAACCACCCCUCAUGGGGUUCUUCAUGAAGACUAGAUGAGAUUAUAUUUGGAAGGCACAAUGACAGGCACAUGUUAAAUAUACAAUCAUUACUGCAAACUCAACGGUAUCUGUGUGUUCUAACUACUAAAUCCUACAGUCUACAGCACACUCAUGUGCCAUUCUACUCAAAGCAGUACACUGACUUAUUAUAAAGAUAUUCAAGAAUUAGAAUUUCUCAGAAUGCUUUAAGGAGCGACAGCACCUGGCGGGCAGCAGGCACUCUCUAAAUACUUGUUAAAUAAUGAGAAAAAGAGGAAAUAAGAUUAAAAAAAAAUACAAACUAAUAGAAAUAAGAGAGUACCGAUUUAUAUUCACACCUAUAGGAGUGAAGAGGGUGACCUCACCCUCUUCCAACCCUUCAGGAUCUCAGGGAUUAUAUUAAUACUACAUUUACCAUGGAUAAUGUGCCAGACAAGGAUGAUGGAAUUGGAUGUCCAUAAUCAAAUUCAUACCUUCAUCAGAAAACACCAGGUCUUUCCCCUCCUUGAGUGGAAUGUACUAAAUUGGGAAAACAUGGCAUUUAGUCAUGGUUACUGAGGGAGCUGAAGCAGACGUUUUGCUCCUUAUGCUGCACUUGGGAGUUAAAGGGCAUAUCCUUAAUAGGCCAUGCCAGCCAACCAGUCAAGACGUGUCCAUCACAGGAGUCCACACUUGUCUCCUCGGUAUUACAUGAAAGUCCUGCUUUUCCUGUCCUUUAUCCUAUUCUACUUAUGCUCCUAGUUGCUACUUGCAGAUAUUUUCCAAAAGGUUCUGACUACUACAGGAAAGCUGAAAUAAGAGGCUCUUUCCCACCCGGGGGACGACAGGGCACGAUGUUUCCAUCUGGCUCUCAGGCCUAAAUCUGUGCCUCCCCCCACAGUCCCUCGCCCACUCAGGAGUUGUGCACACAGACCCUUGUCUCAGCACACUCCCUCCCCUCAAAUCUGAAAGGAAAGCAGGCAGCUUUCCUUGGAAAGAGUUACUUCAUCCAGUUGGCUAAUGGGUCACAUAUUCCAUGGGAAAGGAUCCAGGUAUGGAAAAGAGGGGAUGGGUAGGCCUUCUUGUAAGGGGAGAGAGAGGAGCAUUAACUACAUAGUUUGUAGGUCUGGGUAAAAGGUGAUCAAGUUCCAGUUUGGGGGUGAAAUGGGAAUCUGUUCCCAUUAGGUGUACUCGCUGCCAGCUCCCCUCCCAGCUCCCCUCUGGCCUGCUGGCAUCCCCCCAGGCUUCUGUCUGGCACCUCCACUAAAUACCUAAAAGAAUCAGAUUCAUUCCAAAGCUUCACAGAGGAGGAGGGGUAAGUAGAAGGGUCCUGCCAAGUGCUUUGAUCUGUGCAGGGGGUCUCAAGGGAUUCAGUCUGGUGAGGGGUGGUAGGGGGAAAGACUCAGAGCCUGCCAAGCCUGCAUUCUCUAAAGACAUGUCAUUCCCUUUAUGAGCCUCAGUGAAGAGUAAGGACACGGGGCUCUUGGUCCCACCAAGGCAAGUUUAACUGUUCUAUUCUUUAUGAUGUUAGCUUUAAAAGAACAAAUCACUAGGGCAGAAGAGCAUUCCAAAAGAAAAAAGUCCCAGAGGAGCUGGGAAUAGAUCCUAUUCUUUUUGACUCAUGUCUAAGAAAAUAAAAAGCAAACUUGUACCAUAGUUGACUUUCAAUAGCAAUUCCAUUUGGCAGCAAAAACCCAAACCCAAACUAGCACCGUCUGAGAUUCAAACAACACUGGAGCUCCUGGCGCAGAGCUAAAGGAGAGGCUGUGGGACAGGAGCCUUCACGCCAAGGUCAGAAAGACAAAAAAAGAAAGCCAAGGCAUAUGACCAGGUUUUAGGUCACAUAAGCGCCAGGCUAAAAUGUCUCCAGAGUGAGCCAGGUCAGGUAACAGGACUUAUAGCUGGGGCCUGGCACUGAGUAGGUGCUCUGUCAAAACCAGAUUAUGUAUUUAUUUAGCAUGAAAGGUCUUGCCACCAUUGUUUACUGUAUAGUUUUGAGUCCAGACUGAAUCUGAGGAUUUUCUAGAGUGAAAGACCCCUCUGAAAGUUUGUUUCUGCACACAUAGGAAAUGUGAAAAGUAACUGGGGAAUUUAAGAUGGAGUACUGGCCACACACACAAUGUGUCUACCCCACCAACCCUCCCUUCCACUAGAAGGACAGAAGGAUAUUUUUAAAAGAAUGAAUUGAUAACAAGACUAGAAAAAAGCUAAAGGAGCCAGAACAGACCAAAGUUUAAGGAAAUCCUGAAAGAUAGAAAGCAGAUGGAAUCAGGUUGAAAAAACAGCGGAAGAAGCCUGAGCCCAAAAUACCAGAGGGGAGAGAUUGUCCCAAGGAGGCCCCUGCAAAGCUCCAAGCUGGCAGCCAACAAACAUGAAGAACGGGUGGCCAAGGAACAAGAAUCACAUAAUUAAUUCACAAACAGCACUGGCGGCCUUUUCCUAUACCAAAAACAGCAGCUUUUGUCCAGAGGAUGAAACCUACAGAUGGUGCUUUCAGGAGAACAUCUUUUGUGGGUGCAGGGGGUUCAUGGAGGAGAGGAGAACUUGAGGCUAUCCUAUCCCCACAGAAGCAAAAGGUAUGCAAAGCAAGCAAGGCAGCUCUAGGGGAGAGGGAACUCACCAAGAUCUCUCCACAGCCCCUCAAGACUGCCCUGUUUUGGUGCAGGGAGAGGCACACCUUCGCCCACCCCUCAACUACAUGCUUCUGAAAGGGAGCCUCACAGUCACCUUGCUUUGCCCUCAUACAGAAAGCAGGCAGCUCUCGCCCAGGGAGAGGCAGCUAGGGAAAGAGUCCUGCAGGCCCAACACCUAAGGAUCAUUCAAAUUAAGAAAAUUUAACAGCAAGAAGAAAAACAAACCUAAAGAAAAUUCAAGAACAAUCCUCAGAAAGACAGAUGGUCAAACUGCAUCCAUUCAACAAAGGCAGGCUGUUGGUUACAAAGAAAAAAAUCAGCAUUUCUGAAAAUUAACAUGAUAG
Ictidomys tridecemlineatus (thirteen-lined ground squirrel) is the source of this 5514-nucleotide long non-coding RNA. RefSeq lists it as uncharacterized. The record is from RefSeq and is a predicted model, not a curated record. Lineage: Eukaryota; Metazoa; Chordata; Mammalia; Rodentia; Sciuridae.